GUGUGGCCUGAACCCGUUUUGGUUGUACUGCUAUGUUGUGGCCCUGCCCAGGCCUCCAAGGACUGGCUGCUGUUAAGCUGUUUAAAAUCCCUGUAGGCCUCAGAUGGCAGCGACACCAGGGACUCGGCAUAGUCCCCAGCUCUGGCAGGAGUCACCACAGCCCUAGCCUUUAGUUCUCUACAGGCUGGAGUGUCGACAAACUCCACAGGACACAACUUUUUCAAACCAAAUUUACCCUCGCGGUCUGAAAUGACCAGUAGGCCCAGGAGAAUUUUACAUGUGAACAGAACCUAACCCACCCUGGCAAAUAUGAGACGUGUGGUCACUGCGGGAACCUGGCCAGCAGCAGACCAAAGCACAGCCAGCAGGGGAAGGCUGGGGCCCGCAAGAGUUGUGUUACAACAGGACACCCUUCAGUUCUCUUUCACUUCCUUAAAAUAGCAGCAGAGCGACUUUUGUAGACGCAGGCUGCCACAGUUCACACAAGGUCAUGGCUGUUUCCGAAUCCCACCCUUUAUUGCCCUAGCGGAGCCACUCCCCUUACCUCCGCCCCCAGAAACUGCUAGCCUGUUCUUAAAUUGAUACAGUUACCUUUUUAAAUGUUCUAAGUCACCGGCUCUGGAGCUUCUUUGCACUUUGGAACCAACUUGCGGGAAGGAACUUUAAAAAUACUGAUAUCUCGAUCCAUCCCCAGAGGUUCUGAUUUAAUGGUCUUGGGGAUAUGGCCACGGCAUGAGGACUGUUAAAACUCCGCAGGUGAUUCUUAUGUGCAACAAAGUUUAAGAACCACUGAUGUAGGCCAUGUCGAUGUCAGUCUUCACUUAAAUCCAACAAGACCCCAGAGCUAAAACGUUCACCUGAAAGAAACCCCAUUCCCAGGCCUGCAUACUGACCUGCGCUGGCUCACAAGAAGCAAAGUGGUCCCUUAACAGGGGCUUCCUGGAGAAAAUGUCUUGACCUAAAAGAGUGAUUCGAGCUGCAGGGAUUUAAGGACCGAGCUGAAGAAGCCCCCGUCUUCCAGCGCAUGUUAUUCCCAUGACAGAUGCUAAAAGUUCAAGGGGAUAAUUCAAUACAAGAAAGAAGAUUUGCUUGGGAAGGUCUGAAUGGCCCUAGCUUUGUUUGUUAACCAUAACCUCUACCAGCUGGAAACACAAUGCCCCACUAAUACUAACAGUGCCUGCUUGUCCAAACAGCAUUCUGGCCACUUACAGCAAUUGACACAAAUUCUAACAGGUCUGUUAAUGUUUUUCAGAUCCUAAACUUGUAGUAGAUUUUUAUGUUCUCUGCAAUCAGUUUUGCUUCAGCGGCCCUGCAGGUGUUUAUGCGUGCUGGCAUGCUAAAUCUCACCAUUCAAAAUAGUUUAUUUUUUACAACAAAAUCUGAAGAAUAAUUUCUUCAUUUUGUCAAAAAAUACCCCAUUCCUAUUAUUUUUCUCUUCUUUAUCUUCACAGGUAGAUGGGGCAAAGCAUUACCUUGUGUAAAACUGCUGCUAAAAUAUAUUCCUAGUGAGAAAGGUCAACUUGUGGGCUAAAGUCCUUGUCACCUCCUGAUCAGUUUUCACUUAGGGCACAGCAGUCUGCCAUUCACCAUUGGGAUCUCUGUGUGUUUCUUCUCUCUUAUGAAAGGACAUAUUGAGCGCUCUAGGACUUGGCUGCCUACAUCAAGUAGAGGGGGACCCUCAUGAUUCACUAAGGGGCCUCAGUUCUGAAUAUUUCUCAUUAUUCAAAAAUGCAAAGCCAUUGUCAUUACGUGGCAGUUUAUUGGAACCAAGGGAGGAAUUGGUCCCUUUUCAUGUUCUUCUCCUAAAUAGAGAAAAGGUAAUUAAAACUUGGAGCUUAAUAAGGGCCAUCUCUAUUUGAACAGCCUAAUACAAAUCCAUUCUCAAUACCUUUUUACACCUUGUCUGAACUGACUUCUACUGUGUACUCCACUGCAUGGGAAUUCUGGAACUUUAGAACGAAGGGAACUCAAUUCAUUCUAUAUAUAUCUCAUUCAUUCAUUUUUUUUUCAUUUGUUCACCAAAUGCUAACUCAAUACCUACGUAACAGAGAUAAUGUUCUUAUUGUCUGUAAAUCAGAAAAUGCAUGCAUUGAAUAAACGCCAUAUAUUCUUGGAAGCUGAGGGCUGAUAACUCAAGGUAAAUGAUCAGCUAGUCUCCUAUGAAAUAAGUAUCUUAUUUCAUGUUACAUGUAGAAAUGACCAUGCAACUUUAUCUUAAAGCCAGGCCUUAUUGAGAAAAAGGGGAUCCAAAUUCCAAAUGUUUCCUUACAUGCUGAGAGGAAACCUUGGAGGUCUGAGCGUGAGUCAUAGGUAGAGGGAAAUCAUGCUAAGAUAUAUAUUGUUUCCACCAGACAGGUAGAGGAAGCAGAGACCCUUUGGCAGAAGAGAUACAGAGAAGAGAGGAGGAGAGGUUCUGGCUUUACCGUUCAGGCUUGAAACCCCAAGUUUAGAUGGAUUGAGGGGGAAGCUUAAGGCAAACAUGACCCCUGGGCCAACACAGGCUAGAGGAACAAUGUAGAAAUGACCAUGUAACUUUAUAGGCAUGAAGAAGAUGCCUGUGAUGGCACUGAGUCUCCUGUGGCUCCCUUGUGUGCCCAAAUGCCUGAAGGAUGUGAGAGUAUUGGUUGUUAGAAUUUCAGGGAAUUCCACCAAGUGGGGAAUGACUCUGUAUUAAGGGCUGCAAAGAAAAGCUCCCAGGCCAAGCAUUGAGUGGGAGGUGCUACCUGCCCUCAGGGAUCCACAGGGACUUCAACAGCUGAUGUGGGGUCUCAUCAGCCUCAAGGUGGCCAAGUUUCUAUGCUGAGACUAUAGCCCACAGUUACACCAGCCAUGAUCCUCAGCAGC
This 2844-nucleotide long non-coding RNA is filed under the name Homo sapiens (human). Its description in RNAcentral is "SYT9 antisense RNA 1". Lineage: Eukaryota; Metazoa; Chordata; Mammalia; Primates; Hominidae. The record is from RNAcentral.